Molecule: long non-coding RNA, 265 nt
Organism: Harpia harpyja (harpy eagle)
Lineage: Eukaryota; Metazoa; Chordata; Aves; Accipitriformes; Accipitridae
Exons: 3
Source: RefSeq, a predicted model, not a curated record
GAAACAGAGUUUGCAAGACAACAGCAACCAAUUGAAAGUGAGGAUAUUUCCCCAACAUGUUAUCCUUCAGCAGAGGUUUUGGGAAAUGCGCCUAAAGCCCCAAAUAUUUUUUGCAUCUUUUUUCAAGUGCCUGGAAAAACACAGCCGUGAGCCUGGAAAUGCUGCUGCUCCAGCCUCAUCUUUUACAAAUGGCAACUUGUUCAGAGAACAUGGACCGAAGAAGCCAUCACUCCUGCAGUGCUUCCACUAGAAACAAGGACCUUGC